UACGGAAGGCAGCAGUGGGGAAUAUUGCACAAUGGGCGCAAGCCUGAUGCAGCCAUGCCGCGUGUAUGAAGAAGGCCUUCGGGUUGUAAAGUACUUUCAGUCGUGAGGAAGGUGUUAAGGUUAAUAACCUUAGUAAUUGACGUUAGCGACAGAAGAAGCACCGGCUAACCCCGUGCCAGCAGCCGCGGUAAUACGGAGGGUGCGAGCGUUAAUCGGAAUUACUGGGCGUAAAGGGCACGCAGGCGGUUAAUUAAGUUGGAUGUGAAAUCCCCGGGCUUAACCUGGGAAUGGCAUUCAAGACUGGUUAGCUAGAGUCUUGUAGAGGGGGUAGAAUUCCAUGUGUAGCGGUGAAAUGCGUAGAGAUGUGGAGGAAUACCGGUGGCAAAGGCGGCCCCUGGACAAAGACUGACGCUCAUGUGCGAAAGCGUGGGGAGCAAACGAGGAUUAGAUACC
This 453-nucleotide ribosomal RNA is filed under the name uncultured bacterium. RNAcentral's name for it is "bacterial SSU rRNA". It matches the Rfam family "Bacterial small subunit ribosomal RNA", at positions 340 to 786 of the family's 1533-position model. The record is from RNAcentral.